UACGAAGGGGGCAAGCGUUGUCCGGAAUCAUUGGGCGUAAAGAGCGUGUAGGCGGCCCGAUAAGUCCGCUGUGAAAGUCCAGGGCUCAACCCUGGAAUGCCAGUGGAAACUGUCGGGCUGGAGUCCGGAAGAGGCGAGUGGAAUUCCUGGUGUAGCGGUGAAAUGCGCAGAUGUCAGGAGGAACACCAAUGGCGAAGGCAGCUCGCUGGGACGGUACUGACGCUGAGACGCGAAAGCGUGGGGAGCAAACAGG
This 253-nucleotide ribosomal RNA is filed under the name uncultured bacterium. Its description in RNAcentral is "partial 16S ribosomal RNA". It matches the Rfam family "Bacterial small subunit ribosomal RNA", at positions 524 to 776 of the family's 1533-position model. The record is from RNAcentral.